UGGUGGCAGAGCCGAGCUGAAGCCUGAAGAGCUCCAUGUGGACAUUUGCAGACACCUUGCCAAAGAGAAUGCAGAGCUGCUGGAGAACUUGUACAGCACCACCACCAUGUACUUCAGUAGCAGCUGGGAAGGGAUCCGGGCAGUUGCCGCCAAGUUAGCUGGCAUCAUCCUGGAACACACAGACACUCAGCGUAUGAAAUGGCUGGACCUGGAACAUCUGCUGAUGUCUCUCCAGGUCCUAGAGAAAGACCCAAGUCCCACUGUCCAGCUGGUGGCAACGGAGAUCAUAAGUGACAUCUGUCCUGGCCGAGCGCUUGGCGAAUGAAGCAGAACGGAGACAAACAGACCAAGGCGCUCCUGUAGUAUAAGGGCCCUACCAUCAAUCAAAUGUUAACCCCACUCCUUGACACCGGCAGCAAGAUGUGUCAUGUGACCCCUCUAAGAACUCCUCCCACUGUCCUCUACCAAUCAGGAUGGGUUUUGCCCCAAUAGGAAUGCCCCGA
This is a long non-coding RNA of Mauremys reevesii (Reeves's turtle), 503 nucleotides long. RefSeq lists it as uncharacterized. The record is from RefSeq and is a predicted model, not a curated record. NCBI's taxonomy places the organism in Eukaryota, Metazoa, Chordata, Testudines, Geoemydidae. The transcript has 4 exons.